CAGGACCCUCCGUCGUCCCGGACAGGGAAGAAGGGUCAGCUUCCCUGGGACGCUGGGCUCGCGGUUGCCAUGGGCGCACAAGGCCUUAUGGUAAAUUAAACCUCAUAAAAAGUGCGAUCCUUCUGCUCCCAGAGCAAAAGUCAGUGGUGCAAGAGGAAAUUGGUAGUCAGAAGACAUGCUGGGCGAAGGGAUCAGAGGAGCCACAGAGUGAGGAAGGCUCGAACUCUUCACAGCGAGGGUGCUCCAGGAAGAGGACCUUGUAAGAAGUACUGGACCCUUGGAGAAAGUGCAGAGUUCUUAGCAAAAUCAUUAACUUGCUAAGUCAUCCUUUUACAAAACAGCACAAAUAAAUCUCCUCUACAUCC
Molecule: long non-coding RNA, 365 nt
Organism: Dipodomys spectabilis (banner-tailed kangaroo rat)
Lineage: Eukaryota; Metazoa; Chordata; Mammalia; Rodentia; Heteromyidae
Exons: 2
Source: RefSeq, a predicted model, not a curated record